AAUGAACGCUGGCGGCAGGCCUAACACAUGCAAGUCGAACGGGUCCUUCGGGACUAGUGGCGGACGGGUGAGUAACGCGUGGGAACAUACCCUUUGGUACGGAAUAGCCUCGGGAAACUGAGAGUAAUACCGUAUGUGCCCUUCGGGGAAGGAUUAUCGCCAAAGGAUUGGCCGCGUUGGAUUAGGUAGUUGGUGGGUAAUGGCCUACCAAGCCGACGAUCCAUAGCUGGUUUGAGAGGAUGAUCAGCCACACUGGGACUGAGACACGGCCCAGACUCCUACGGGAGGCAGCAGUGGGGAAUCUUAGACAAUGGGGGAAACCCGUGAUCUAGCCAUGCCGCGUGAUCGAUGAAGGCCUUAGGGUU
This 365-nucleotide ribosomal RNA is filed under the name uncultured bacterium. RNAcentral's name for it is "bacterial SSU rRNA". It matches the Rfam family "Bacterial small subunit ribosomal RNA", at positions 29 to 424 of the family's 1533-position model. The record is from RNAcentral.